This 946-nucleotide ribosomal RNA is filed under the name Allophoma zantedeschiae. RNAcentral's name for it is "partial large subunit ribosomal RNA". It matches the Rfam family "Eukaryotic large subunit ribosomal RNA", at positions 82 to 1048 of the family's 3401-position model. The record is from RNAcentral. Lineage: Eukaryota; Fungi; Ascomycota; Dothideomycetes; Pleosporales; Didymellaceae.
AGUAACGGCGAGUGAAGCGGCAACAGCUCAAAUUUGAAAUCUGGCGUCUUCGGCGUCCGAGUUGUAAUUUGCAGAGGGCGCUUUGGUAUUGGCAGCGGUCCAAGUUCCUUGGAACAGGACGUCACAGAGGGUGAGAAUCCCGUACGUGGUCGCUAGCCUUUACCGUGUAAAGCCCCUUCGACGAGUCGAGUUGUUUGGGAAUGCAGCUCUAAAUGGGAGGUAAAUUUCUUCUAAAGCUAAAUACUGGCCAGAGACCGAUAGCGCACAAGUAGAGUGAUCGAAAGAUGAAAAGCACUUUGGAAAGAGAGUUAAAAAGCACGUGAAAUUGUUGAAAGGGAAGCGCUUGCAGCCAGACUUGCCUGUAGUUGCUCAUCCGGGUUUCUACCCGGUGCACUCUUCUAUAGGCAGGCCAGCAUCAGUUUGGGCGGUUGGAUAAAGGUCUCUGUCAUGUACCUCCUUUCGGGGAGAACUUAUAGGGGAGACGACAUGCAACCAGCCUGGACUGAGGUCCGCGCAUCUGCUAGGAUGCUGGCGUAAUGGCUGUAAGCGGCCCGUCUUGAAACACGGACCAAGGAGUCUAACAUCUAUGCGAGUGUUUGGGUGUCAAGCCCGAACGCGUAAUGAAAGUGAACGGAGGUGGGAACCUUUCGGGGUGCACCAUCGACCGAUCCUGAUGUCUUCGGAUGGAUUUGAGUAAGAGCAUAGCUGUUGGGACCCGAAAGAUGGUGAACUAUGCUUGAAUAGGGUGAAGCCAGAGGAAACUCUGGUGGAGGCUCGCAGCGGUUCUGACGUGCAAAUCGAUCGUCAAAUUUGGGCAUAGGGGCGAAAGACUAAUCGAACUAUCUAGUAGCUGGUUCCUGCCGAAGUUUCCCUCAGGAUAGCAGUAACGUUUUCAGUUUUAUGAGGUAAAGCGAAUGAUUAGAGGCCUGGGGGUUGAAACAACCUU